UGCCACUCUUAACGGGGUGGCUUUUCAGAAGUGUAAAAAGCUUCUGGAAUAAGGGCUGGGCAAGACCGGUGCCAGCCGCCGCGGUAACACCGGCAGCUCAAGUGGUAGCCGCUUUUAUUGGGCCUAAAGCGUCCGUAGCCGGUCUGAUAAGUCUCUGGUGAAAUCCCACAGCUUAACUGUGGGAAUUGCUGGAGAUACUAUCAUGACUCGAGGUCGGGAGAGGCUGGAGGUACUCCCAGGGUAGGGGUGAAAUCCUGUAAUCCUGGGAGGACCACCUGUGGCGAAGGCGUCCAGCUGGAACGAACCUGACGGUGAGGGACGAAAGCCAGGGGCGCGAAUCGGAUUAGAUACCCGGGUAGUCCUGGCCGUAAACGAUGUGGACUUGGUGUUGAGAUGGCUUCGAGCUGCCCCAGUGCCGAAGGGAAGCUGUUAAGUCCACCGCCUGGGAAGUACGGCCGCA
This 460-nucleotide ribosomal RNA is filed under the name uncultured archaeon. RNAcentral describes it as "bacterial SSU rRNA". It matches the Rfam family "Archaeal small subunit ribosomal RNA", at positions 385 to 845 of the family's 1478-position model. The record is from RNAcentral.